CCUACGGGAGGCAGCAGUGGGGGAUAUUGCACAAUGGGGGAAACCCUGAUGCAGCAACGCCGCGCGUGGGAAGAAGGUUUUCGGAUUGUAAACCACUGUUCUUGGUGAAGAUAAUGACGGUAACCAAGGAGAAAGCUCCGGCUAACUACGUGCCAGCAGCCGCGGUAAUACGUAGGGAGCAAGCGUUGUCCGGAUUUACUGGGUGUAAAGGGUGCGUAGGCGGUCUUGCAAGUCAGACGUGAAAAACACAGGCUCAACCUGUGGACUGCGUUUGAAACUGUGGGGCUUGAGUGAAGGAGGGGCAACCGGAAUUCCUAGUGUAGCGGUGGAAUGCGUAGAUAUUAGGAGGAACACCAGUGGCGAAGACGGGUUGCUAGACUGUAACUGACACUGAGGCACGAAAGCGUGGGGAGCAAACAGGAUUAGAUACCCCGAGUAGUC
RNAcentral lists this ribosomal RNA (441 nucleotides) under uncultured bacterium. RNAcentral's name for it is "partial 16S ribosomal RNA". It matches the Rfam family "Bacterial small subunit ribosomal RNA", at positions 338 to 795 of the family's 1533-position model. The record is from RNAcentral.